This 2540-nucleotide long non-coding RNA is filed under the name Lotus japonicus. RNAcentral describes it as "long non-coding RNA (LJAP_LNC000870)". Lineage: Eukaryota; Viridiplantae; Streptophyta; Magnoliopsida; Fabales; Fabaceae. The record is from RNAcentral.
UGAAAAAAAAAAGAGGGAGGGAAACAAGCUAUUAUUAUAACAUCAAGAAAGAGUGUAGCAAAUCAGCCAAUGGUUCUAAAUAUAAAAUCACCCAAGUACUUUUAGAGGCGUAACUAGAAAUAAGAAAUUAAAAUAUAAACAAUUUCUGAUCCUAAAUCCUCAGAAUGGAGAGAAAAGGUGUAGCAAAAUCACCUCACAAGGUAUGAAUGCAGCGAACGACAAAUGAUCCUUGACAAAGGUUCUGCAUAGAAGAGAAAAGGGGCAAUACAAAGGUUAUAGAAACAAAAUCAGAAAAUGAAUAAUGAAUUGAAACUUUACAUGAAGAAUUUGAAACUUAAAACACAAAAAUUGAUAUUUACAUAAAUAAAUAAAAAAUCUUCUCUGGUGAAGUUCUGGAAGGUCAAAUCUGAAAGUAUUUCCCCUUGCAUGUGUGAAAAGGAAGGAGAAGAGGAGGCAUAGAGGAAGGAGAAGAGGAAGGAGAAGAGGAGGCAUAGAGGAAGGAGAAAGGGAGAGAGGAAGGAGAAGAGGAGGCAUAGAGGAAGGAGAAAGGGGGAGAAGAGGAGUGUGAAGGGAGAAGAGGAAGGAGAAAGGGAGAGAGGAAGGAGAAGAGGAGGCAUAGAGGAAGGAGAAAGGGGGAGAAGAGGAGUGUGAAGGGAGAAGAGGAAGGAGAAAGGGAGAGAGGAAGGAGAAGAGGAGGCAUAGAGGAAGGAGAAAGGGGGAGAAGAGGAGUGUGAAGGGAGAAGAGGAAGGAGAAAGGGAGAGAGGAAGGAGAAGAGGAGGCAUAGAGGAAGGAACGGCUAGGGUUAUGGAAGAAAGGAAAAGAAGGUUUAUAUAGUGGGUGAUGGUUUUAAUAUAGUAUACGAUUUAAAUUUAAAUUUUAAUAUAAAAAUGUAUGAAAAGUAAAAGAAAAAAAACUCGGUCGUUAAAAAAUGAGUAUGAAAAAUCUACAUCAUUAUGUUUUUAUUUUUUAUAUAAAUUUUUUAAUAUAAAAAUUUAAUAAAUAAUAGUUUGAACAGUGAAAAAGAGUUACUUUUUCAGUAUACACUAUUUCCUUUAUUAAAAUAUUUAAAAUAAAGAUAUUUACUAUUAAUGUCUAAUAAUGGUAAAAUUCAAAAAAAAUGCCUAAUAAUGGUAGAAAAGUCACAAAUGAGUUGUUAAAAAUAAUUAAUUAUUUACACUACAAGAAUUAAUGCUUUUAGUGGCCAUCAUUUUCGUCAUUAAAAGCUUGAAAAAUCGUCACUAUGAGUAUCUUAUGACGAAAUUGGCAUUCGUCACUAGUCGUCACAAGUACUCAAGUCACUAAUACAUUAGUGACGAUAUUUUCAAAUGUCACUAAUGUUACUUUUUAUUGUGACAAUAAUAUCGUCACUAAUAUUUAUACCCAAUAAUGACAAAAUUAACCGCCACAAAUGUUUUUACAAUUCGCCACUAAAAGAACCCUUCAAGGCCAAAAUCCUAUUUUGUCAUUCAUCAUACUAAUUAGCAACCAAAGACGUAUUAUACAUCCAUUGAUCUGGAUUGAACUAUUUUGAACUUAAAAGGCCUAUCAAGUAUCACUAUUGGAAAAUAAUGCAUAAACAGCAUAAAAUUACACAGUACUAAUGGAGUUAUGGAUAAAGAAAUGGGCAUAGGAUGCAACUGCUUCCCUUAAGCCAGAAGAAGGGUAAAACAGCAUACAUAUGCAGAUAUGCUAAUAAAAAACAACAAGAAAAAGAAUAGCAUUUCAAAAAAACAAAAUUAGAAUUGUGAAGUGCAGAACCAGACAAACAAAACAAGCAAGUUAACAAGUAAACAGCCCUGAUUAUGCGGCAAAUUAAAAGACAAAGAUCACCUUAUUAUGCAGAACAAAUUGACAGACAAAACCAACCUACUCUGCAGCAAAUUAAAGGGAAAAGGUCACCUUACUAUGCAGCAAAAAACAUCAAAAAAAGCUAAAAUUGCUAUGCAACAAAUUAAUACUGAGCAAGGUAAAGCUUUAAAUAAAUGAUUGAGCAAAUUGAAUAUGUCAAUUUAAAUAAAUUAAACAGCAAUUUCGACAACUCCAUGCAUUCCUAGGUUUGUUCUAUUCGAUCAUACUAUUAGAGGGACGGAGGCAAACAAGCUAUUUAUUAUAACAUCAAGAAAGAGUGUAGCAAAUCAACCAAUAGCACCUAAAUAAAUUUAGAGGCAAGUGUAACUAGAAAUAAGAAAUCAAAAUAUAAACAAUUUCUGAUCCUAAAUCCUCAGAAUGGAGAGAAAAGGUGUAACAAAAUUACCUCACAAGGUUUGAAUGCAGCAAACGACACAUGAUCCUUGACAAAGGUUCUGCAUAGAAGAGAAAAGGGGCAAUACAAAGGUUAUAGAAACAAAAUCAGAAAAUGAAUUUCAAGUACACCACAUAUCAAGAGAAACACACCAAUCUAGCAUCAAAGAGUUGCAAACCACAUUACAACAAUAAAAUGAAAUACUAGCUAUUGGCUAUUGCAGCAAGCAUUGCCAUCAAAACACCUUCAAUAAAGAUGCAUAAUAAAAGUAUUAGCUAGGCCUCAACUUGAAAAUUA